AGCAGCCGCGGUAAUUCCAGCUCCAAUAGCGUAUAUUAAAGUUGUUGCAGUUAAAAAGCUCGUAGUUGAAUUUCGGGAUCAAAGGAUCGGCCAUGCCUUGGUAUGUACUGGUUUUAUUGGUUCUCACCUUCUAAAAGAACCAUAAUGUCAUUCAUUUGAUGUUAUGGGGAAUUAGGACUGUUACCUUGAAAAAUUAGAGUGUUUAAAGCAAGCUAACGCUUGAAUACAUUAGCAUGGAAUAAUGAAAUAGGACGUUUGAUUCUAUUUUGUUGGUUUCUAGGAUCGACGUAAUGAUUAAUAGGGAUAGUUGGGGGCAUUAGUAUUCAAUUGUCAGAGGUGAAAUUCUUGGAUUUAUUGAAGACUAACUACUGCGAAAGCAUUGCCAAGGAUGUUUUCAUUAAUCAAGAACGAAAGUUAGGGGAUCGAAGACGAUCAGAUACCGUCGUAGUCUUAACCAUAAACUAUGCCGACUAGGGAUCGGAUGAUGUUAAUUUUUUAAUAGUACUCAUUCGGCGCCUUA
Molecule: unclassified non-coding RNA, 520 nt
Filed under: uncultured Glomus
Lineage: Eukaryota; Fungi; Glomeromycota; Glomeromycetes; Glomerales; Glomeraceae
Description: SSU rRNA
Rfam family: Eukaryotic small subunit ribosomal RNA
Source: RNAcentral